This 255-nucleotide ribosomal RNA is filed under the name uncultured bacterium. RNAcentral's name for it is "partial 16S ribosomal RNA". It matches the Rfam family "Bacterial small subunit ribosomal RNA", at positions 77 to 334 of the family's 1533-position model. The record is from RNAcentral.
CAAACUGGAGAUGGCGACCGGCGCACGGGUGAGUAACACGUAUCCAACCUGCCGAUAACUCGGGGAUAGCCUUUCGAAAGAAAGAUUAAUACCCGAUAGUAUAAUGAAACCGCAUGGCCUUAUUAUUAAAGAAUUUCGGUUAUCGAUGGGGAUGCGUUCCAUUAGGCAGUUGGUGAGGUAACGGCUCACCAAACCUUCGGUGGAUAGGGGUUCUGAGAGGAAGGUCCCCCACAUUGGAACUGAGACACGGUCCAA